Non-coding RNA from Tetranychus urticae (two-spotted spider mite), 594 nucleotides. Lineage: Eukaryota; Metazoa; Arthropoda; Arachnida; Trombidiformes; Tetranychidae. The record is from RefSeq and is a predicted model, not a curated record.
GUGAAUCUUUUACUAAACCCAAAACUAGCUCGAACCUAAAUGUAUGUCCAGCCUAGUUGUACUUUAAAAAUAUGUCAUUAGUUUGUUUACUGACCAAUAUUUAACUGACAAUUGCAUUCAAAUCAAUACAAGAUUCAAAUCGAUAGCAGCAGUGGACAAUCAUCUACUUGGGGAAAAUUGGAGGUGAUUUUUUUAACCAAAGAUCGUAAUGAAACGUUCCAAUUGACCAGUGAAUCAGAUGAGAUAAAAGAUGAAUCCUUAAUCCAAGGCUUAGUCGUGGCUCAUCCUUUAGUUCGUAAUAUUACCUCAGCAAUUGUUAAAUACACAAAAUAUCGAGGAUGGAUUUACUCUGGAAAAGAUUUCUGGGGAAUUGAUAAAAUUGUAUUAACAAAUUCUGAUGGCGAAAUGAUCUCUUAUUGUGGUUACAAUACAAUCCUUGAAGACAGUAUACCUUUACAAUUGGAACUUGUUAAAGGUAACUGUACCGUUGAGAUAACAGCUGAUGCAAGUUACAACAAUCGUUUGGCUCGAUUGGUUUGGCAAGUUGUCUCUGGACCAAGUAAGGGUCGCCCACCUAAACUACUUUGGCGUCUA